This 219-nucleotide long non-coding RNA is filed under the name Elaeis guineensis (African oil palm). RNAcentral's name for it is "long non-coding RNA (EGUI_LNC011286)". The record is from RNAcentral. Lineage: Eukaryota; Viridiplantae; Streptophyta; Magnoliopsida; Arecales; Arecaceae.
GGGGCCAUAAAUGCGAAUGUGCUCUUCCUUUAUCUGUUGCUGCUUAAAUCGGUUAAAGUUGGAAGACAGACACCUGAAAAUCUCGCGUGGCAAUGCUGGUGCUGGAGUCACCUACAAAAUAAGUCCCAAGCUGGAGGUUGUAGCUCCGAUGAGGACCUUCCGAUACUUAAAUCAGAAAAGCAAAGAACAAAAGGAGCAGCCAUCGAAUUCUUUAAGAGG